GUGCCAGCAGCCGCGGUAAUACUUAGGGAGCGAGCGUUGUCCGGAUUUAUUGGGCGUAAAGCGCGCGUAGGCGGUUUGGUAAGCCGGGUGUGAAACCCUCGAGCUCAACUCGGGGCGGCCACUCGGAACUGUCAUGACUUGAGUCAGGUAGGGGAACACGGAAUUCCAGGCGUAGCGGUGAAAUGCUUAGAUAUCUGGAGGAACACCGGUGGCGAAGGCGGCAUCCUGGACCAACACUGACGCUGAGGAGCGAAAGCCAGGGGAGCAAACGGGAUUAGAUACCCUUGUAGUCC
RNAcentral lists this ribosomal RNA (293 nucleotides) under uncultured bacterium. RNAcentral describes it as "partial 16S ribosomal RNA". It matches the Rfam family "Bacterial small subunit ribosomal RNA", at positions 505 to 796 of the family's 1533-position model. The record is from RNAcentral.